Amphimedon queenslandica is the source of this 625-nucleotide long non-coding RNA. RefSeq lists it as uncharacterized. NCBI's taxonomy places the organism in Eukaryota, Metazoa, Porifera, Demospongiae, Haplosclerida, Niphatidae. The record is from RefSeq and is a predicted model, not a curated record. The transcript is spliced from 3 exons.
AAUUCAAUGGAGGCACGAAGAAAAUGCCUCACUUACCUGCUGUAGCUCUAUCAAUAGCUAAAAAGCGCUUGUUAUAAAAAAGAACAGCUGCCUAUAAGCUUCUCCUGUCAAGGAUUUGGUCAAAUUUGCUCCAGAAUUCUUAAUACAGGGUGGUCUAUAGAAAUUAGCAUAGAAGAUAAUUGUCCAAAUCGCGCACUUGUUAGCUAGGACUGCUUUCUCGACUGGACUGCUUCACCUACACUCAGCGAAGAAUAACCAAAUUGGCUGAAUUUUUCAUUAUCUGGCUCCAUAAUGUAUUGUGCUUCAAUACAUAAAAAACUAACAUCACUCUAAAGACCUUACGGCUCCUAUGUAACUGGGGGUCAAGCCUCACUUCCAUUACCAUCUCUUUCAGUGAAGGGUAUGACUGAUCCAGUACUAAGUCUACCAUUGACAAGAGCACAAGCUCAAGAUAUCAUAUGUGUUGCUUCACUAAGACAUACACCAUAUGGAGGUGGCUCUCCAGCGACACCGGGAAGAGGAGAGCCUGGAGAGGAUGCUACUGUGUCCACACAUUGUUAUCAAUUGGAUGCUGAUCUGAAGUUCACUAUCAAAAAUCCAAAAUGGUCUAAGUCUUUACAAAAAA